UACGUAGGUGGCAAGCGUUGUCCGGAUUUAUUGGGCGUAAAGGGAGCGCAGGCGGUGACUUAAGUCUGAUGUGAAAGCCCACGGCUCAACCGUGGAAGGUCAUUGGAAACUGGGUCACUUGAGUGCAGAAGAGGAAAGUGGAAUUCCAUGUGUAGCGGUGAAAUGCGUAGAUAUAUGGAGGAACACCAGUGGCGAAGGCGACUUUCUGGUCUGUAACUGACGCUGAGGCUCGAAAGCGUGGGGAG
RNAcentral lists this ribosomal RNA (245 nucleotides) under uncultured Facklamia sp. Its description in RNAcentral is "partial 16S ribosomal RNA". It matches the Rfam family "Bacterial small subunit ribosomal RNA", at positions 524 to 768 of the family's 1533-position model. Lineage: Bacteria; Bacillati; Bacillota; Bacilli; Lactobacillales; Aerococcaceae. The record is from RNAcentral.